Tupaia belangeri chinensis (Chinese tree shrew) is the source of this 718-nucleotide long non-coding RNA. RefSeq lists it as uncharacterized. The transcript has 5 exons. Lineage: Eukaryota; Metazoa; Chordata; Mammalia; Scandentia; Tupaiidae. The record is from RefSeq and is a predicted model, not a curated record.
GGAGCAUGUACUGCUGCUUCUACCCCCAGAUUCGUAAAAACCAAAAUGCUGUCUUCAUAAGGCAUGGAGAGUCCACCUGCAUUUGUGGCAGUGUUCUUUCCUUACUGAUCAGCAAAGCUGCUAGCAAAGCAUAUAUUUGGAAAGUGAUAGCAAAAAAAUAUAAUUGAAGAAAAUUUUAACUACACACAAUUUCGUUGUUGCUGCUGCACGGAAUCUCUGGAGCUGGCAAGGUUGAGCUGCAGUUGCACAGAACGCUCAGCACAUGGAGAUAGGACUGCGUCCCAGCGCUUCCAGAAGUACAAGAAUACUGUCUGUACUCGCAUUUCCUGUCUGAAUUGAUGCUAAAAUUUUUUUUCAAGUUGGAAAAAUAAUACAGUUUUAAUUUCAUUUGCAGCAAGCUUAAUAGAUUAAUUAGGAGAGCAUAAAUCUUUUAAAAAUUGAGUCUUCUUUCUCAACUGUAAGCAUUUCUUCACAAGCAAGUACCCAAAGAGAUCAUUUUUGCAGCACUAAGUAGCUACACAAGAAGUGACGGUUCAGAGGACUAGGCGAUUGGAUGACAUGCAAGUGAUUGGAAGGAAGAAGGUGCGCAGAGUGCCCCAGAAGGGCCGAGGAAGGAAGGCAGGCCACAGUCUCAUAUGGUCGUUACCCUGUGGACCAGAGGGUAUACAAAGCUUCUGCCAUGUUUGCAUCUGCAGCAUCACCCAGAUGUUGUCUUCAU